AACCACUAGCAUCGCUAUUCCAUGGCGGUCGGAGGUCCCCGCUUAUCUCCGAGAGGAGUGGACCCUUCAUUGCGCUCAUCUUCCAUUAGGAUCACAUCAUCAGCACAGCGAGCAGAGACGUCCGCAGUGCAAAGCCCAUGCAGCGCUCGAUGUCAGAGAGGAAUGUGGCUGAUUUAGAUUUUGGACUGACACAGAUCAUCUAUGGGGCUGAAUGUGAUCGGCAGAGUCAGAAUGGACACAAUCAACUGUUAUAUUUUAUCCUUGCUUGCAUAUUUUUAUGUUGAUUUUUUUAAUACAAAGCUAAUAUAUAAUCUGUUAUUUAAGAACGUAAUUAGUUUUGGAAAAUCUGCAAUACUCGACAUAUUUAUACUAUUCAAAAUAAAAUAUUGAAAAUAA
Molecule: long non-coding RNA, 396 nt
Organism: Amblyraja radiata (thorny skate)
Lineage: Eukaryota; Metazoa; Chordata; Chondrichthyes; Rajiformes; Rajidae
Exons: 2
Source: RefSeq, a predicted model, not a curated record